Molecule: ribosomal RNA, 726 nt
Filed under: uncultured archaeon
Lineage: Archaea
Description: bacterial SSU rRNA
Rfam family: Archaeal small subunit ribosomal RNA
Source: RNAcentral
GCUAGUCGCGCGGGUUUAGACCCGCGGCAUAUAGCUCAGUAACACGUGGCCAAACUACCCUAUGGACAGGGACAACCUCGGGAAACUGGGGCUAAUCCCUGAUACCACUCUCAUGCUGGAGUGCAGAGAGUGAGAAACGCUCCGGCGCCAUAGGAUGUGGCUGCGGCCGAUUAGGUAGAUGGUGGGGUAACGGCCCACCAUGCCAAUAAUCGGUACAGGUUGUGAGAGCAAGAGCCUGGAGACGGUGUCUGAGACAGGAUACCGGGCCCUACGGGGCGCAGCAGGCGCGAAACCUUUACACUGCACGACAGUGCGAUAAGGGGACUCCGAGUGCGAGGGCAUAUAGUCCUCGCUUUUCUGUACCGUAGGGAGGUACAGGAACAAGUGCUGGGCAAGACCGGUGCCAGCCGCCGCGGUAAUACCGGCAGCACGAGUGAUGACCGAUAUUAUUGGGCCUAAAGCGUCCGUAGCUGGCCAGACAAGUCCGUUGGGAAAUCCACGCGCUCAACGCGUGGGCGUCCGGCGGAAACUGUUUGGCUUGGGGCCAGAAGACCUGAGGGGUACGUCCGGGGUAGGAGUGAAAUCCUGUAAUCCUGGACGGACCACCAAUGGGGAAACCACCUCAGGAGGAUGGACCCGACAGUGAGGGACGAAAGCUAGGGUCUCGAACCGGAUUAGAUACCCGGGUAGUCCUAGCUGUAAACGAUGCUCGCUAGGUGUGCCGUA